RNAcentral lists this ribosomal RNA (468 nucleotides) under uncultured bacterium. RNAcentral describes it as "partial 16S ribosomal RNA". It matches the Rfam family "Bacterial small subunit ribosomal RNA", at positions 28 to 507 of the family's 1533-position model. The record is from RNAcentral.
GACGAACGCUGGCGGCGUGCUUAACACAUGCAAGUCGAACGGAAAGGCCCUGCUUUUGUGGGGUGCUCGAGUGGCGAACGGGUGAGUAACACGUGAGUAACCUGCCCUUGACUUUGGGAUAACUUCAGAAAACUGGGGCUAAUACCGGAUAGGAGCUCCUGCUGCAUGGUGGGGGUUGGAAAGUUUCGGCGGUUGGGGAUGGACUCGCGGCUUAUCAGCUUGUUGGUGGGGUAGUGGCUUACCAAGGCUUUGACGGGUAGCCGGCCUGAGAGGGUGACCGGCCACAUUGGGACUGAGAUACGGCCCAGACUCCUACGGGAGGCAGCAGUGGGGAAUAUUGCACAAUGGGCGGAAGCCUGAUGCAGCAACGCCGCGUGCGGGAUGACGGCCUUCGGGCUGUAAACCGCUUUCGCCUGUGACGAAGCGUGAGUGACGGUAAUGGGUAAAGAAGCACCGGCUAACUACGUG